UGCGUAGGCGGCUUUGCAAGUCAGAUGUGAAAUCUAUGGGCUCAACCCAUAAACUGCAUUUGAAACUGUAGAGCUUGAGUGAAGUAGAGGCAGGCGGAAUUCCCCGUGUAGCGGUGAAAUGCGUAGAGAUGGGGAGGAACACCAGUGGCGAAGGCGGCCUGCUGGGCUUUAACUGACGCUGAGGCACGAAAGCGUGGUAGCAAACA
Molecule: ribosomal RNA, 206 nt
Filed under: uncultured bacterium
Lineage: Bacteria
Description: partial 16S ribosomal RNA
Rfam family: Bacterial small subunit ribosomal RNA
Source: RNAcentral